RNAcentral lists this unclassified non-coding RNA (181 nucleotides) under fungal sp. Its description in RNAcentral is "partial internal transcribed spacer region". The stretch from base 1 to 46 matches the Rfam family "Eukaryotic small subunit ribosomal RNA", at positions 1786 to 1831 of the family's 1831-position model. Lineage: Eukaryota; Fungi. The record is from RNAcentral.
AAGUCGUAACAAGGUUUCCGUAGGUGAACCUGCGGAAGGAUCAUUAAUAAAUGCUUCAUUGCAUCCACCUUUUGUGCACCGUAAAUAUUUCCACCUGUUAUUUUGUCUGAUUAAUCCUUGUUUCGAAAGGAACAUGAAUUAUAAUAAAAUACAACUUUUAACAAUGGAUCUCUUGGCUCUC